Molecule: long non-coding RNA, 397 nt
Filed under: Linum usitatissimum (flax)
Lineage: Eukaryota; Viridiplantae; Streptophyta; Magnoliopsida; Malpighiales; Linaceae
Description: long non-coding RNA (LUSI_LNC001428)
Source: RNAcentral
AUCAGCUCGGCCAGCGUCCCUUGCUCGAAGAGGGCUGAGCAGGCGAUCACCUCGGGCAGUGUCCCUCUCCCUGUCCCUUGCUCGAAGAGGUUCAGUUUGGUCGAGAUAGGUUUCUCUCCUCUCAUAGAGAGACGCAAUGUCCCUCCUCAGAUUCGACAGGUAUGUGCUGGAGGCAGACGCCGGAGGGGCACCAUAGCUGUAGGGGUAAUAUCGGUCUCUCAAGUACGGCUCCAAUGAUGAAGCAGGUGGAGACCGAAUCGACGUAGGAGGAGCUCCUCCUCCAUAGUGGUGGAGGUCGCUUCUACCCCCGAUGUCUUGUUGGCGAAGGUUGAAGAGGGGAUGAUGAUCCACUUCUCUGCCGAUCGCCAAAGGAUGAUCCCUGUAAUUCGGCGGUGGC